Molecule: ribosomal RNA, 422 nt
Filed under: uncultured bacterium
Lineage: Bacteria
Description: partial 16S ribosomal RNA
Rfam family: Bacterial small subunit ribosomal RNA
Source: RNAcentral
AAUUUGGUACAAUGGGGGAAACCCUGAUCCAGCCAUCCCGCGUGUAUGAUGAAUGNCUNNGGGUUNUNAAGUACUUUUGGCAGNNNNNAAAAGGUAUCUCCUAAUACGAGAUAAUGCUCACGCUAUCUGCAGCAUAAGCACCGACUAACUACGAACCAUCAGCCGCGGUAAGACGUAGGGUGCAAGCGUUAACCGGAAUUACUGGGCGUAAAGCGUGUGUAGGCGGUUCGGAAAGAAAGAUGUGAAAACCCAGGGCUCAACCUUGGAACUGCAUUUUUAACUGCCGAGCUAGAGUAUGUCAGAGGGGGGUAGAAUUCCACGUGUAGCAGUGAAAUGCGUAGAUAUGUGGAGGAAUACCGAUGGCGAAGGCAGCCCCCUGGGAUAAUACUGACGCUCAGACACGAAAGCGUGGGGAGCAAACA